Molecule: non-coding RNA, 605 nt
Organism: Monodelphis domestica (gray short-tailed opossum)
Lineage: Eukaryota; Metazoa; Chordata; Mammalia; Didelphimorphia; Didelphidae
Source: RefSeq, a predicted model, not a curated record
UUGCUACUUUCAAGUGAUAGAUACUGACUAUGAAAACUAUGGCAUUAUUUACAUAGGAAACAGAGAAAACAAGGAAGACUUUGAAGUUAAACUCUAUGGCAGGAAUAAAGUAGUAUCUGAUAAAGGCUUGAAGAAAUUCCAAGAAGUCAUAAAAUCCGUUGGAAUUCCAGGGGAGAAUGUGAUUACGCUAUCUGGAACAAUAGCCUGUAGUUAAAGAAAUCUGAAUGCAACAGAGGGAGCACAAUACAGACCCAUGUCCUCUUGUGUCUGGAAAAGGGUAGCUGCCAGAUGGCCUUCAACAUUCCCCUUUCCCAUCCAUGGGAAGAUGGUGUUCUCUUUGCUUCAAGGGCUGCAGCUUUCCAUGCUGGAUAUGAUUGGGAUGCCCCAACCUGUACCUUUGCUUAGGGGAUUUCUGAGUACUUGGGGUAUUGCUCAUCUGGAAUCCAAAGUAAUUGUUUUCCCUAUUCUUCAUUUAGCAAAUGCCUAACUAAGCUAGGUGAUUAAUAAAUUAAUAAAUACUAACUUGUUUUCUAAACACAGACGAUAUGUACCAGGGCCUCUUUUAUGCUGCAGGUCAAAGUCCAUCACACUCAAUGACAUUAAAA